Molecule: ribosomal RNA, 141 nt
Filed under: uncultured bacterium
Lineage: Bacteria
Description: partial 16S rRNA
Rfam family: Bacterial small subunit ribosomal RNA
Source: RNAcentral
UGGGGAAUUUUCCGCAAUGGGCGAAAGCCUGACGGAGCAAUGCCGCGUGGAGGUGGAAGGCCUACGGGUCGUCAACUUCUUUUCUCGGAGAAGAAACAAUGACGGUAUCUGAGGAAUAAGCAUCGGCUAACUCUGUCCCAG